This is a long non-coding RNA of Cherax quadricarinatus, 979 nucleotides long. RefSeq lists it as uncharacterized. Lineage: Eukaryota; Metazoa; Arthropoda; Malacostraca; Decapoda; Parastacidae. The record is from RefSeq and is a predicted model, not a curated record.
UUCAACAGUCAUAUAGCUAGUUACUCGUUGCAUCAACCUUUUUGACAUGUUAUUUGUUACAUUAGCCUUUUUGAAAUGCUAUUAUUUCUUCCAGCACUGUCCUACAACUGUUUACCCCUUCCAGCAGUAGCUGAUGCCUUUACAAGCACUACUUCCACAUAGAACUGUACAGCAGCAGCACUAUAGUCGUCUCCGCAUACAUUAGAGCAGGCGUGGUAUGCGAACCGAAUUCUGUUCAUUUGCUUAAUGAGACAGUAUCCAGAGCAGAAAGUAAAUAUGGAAAUUGUUUCAAGAACUACAUAGUGAGAGAAGAGCCACGCAGAACCAUAGCUUGACCACGCCUGCCACAGAGCUACAAUACUUGACACUUAAAAAAAAUGGUUGACGUGUUAGACACAGUGAAGUUAAUGAGAUCAUCAAAAGAAACUUUGCUGCAGCCUUGUACCCAGCGAAAGAGAACCUCGACCUUUACUACUUAAAACCCCUGAUAUGCUCGUCAGCCGCCUUGAUGGAAUGAUCAUAUCCCUGGAAGAACAGUAGACUGCUGGUGUCCUGGAACUAUACUUGCGCACCUUUCCUAGCUGACACCUACAUCCCCUUUUAUAGUGCUGUUCAGUAAGGUGGUACUACUGAUCACAAGCUCAAAAAGUAUAGGAAUUUGGCCCACCAAUAUCACUUCUUUCCUACAAAACUGGAAACUCUUGGUCCAUGGGAAAGCAUGCCAUGGGUUUUCUCAAAGAGCUGGGUUCAAGGCUUAUUAAAACUACCAGCGACCCGAGGCUUGCUGCCUGUCUUUUUCAGGCCUCAGUGGGGCUUAGAAAAUGGAUUGAGGUAUUUGAAUUAUUUAUGUGGAAUAUUAAUAUGAAUAAUGUGAAUAUUAGUAUACAACUCUUCAAAAAGCUUGUUAGUCAAAAUAUAUUAAUUUUCAUUGAACAUUAUGACCUAAUUGUUAAUUCAAUUAAUGAAAUGAUACUUUUUA